GGAUGUAGCUCAGUGGUAGAGCACUUGCCUACCAUGCUUGAGGUCCUGGGUUCAAUUACCAGGGCCAUACA
Molecule: transfer RNA, 71 nt
Filed under: Marmota monax (woodchuck)
Lineage: Eukaryota; Metazoa; Chordata; Mammalia; Rodentia; Sciuridae
Description: tRNA.Gly
Rfam family: tRNA (bases 6-62)
About the family: Transfer RNA (tRNA) molecules are approximately 80 nucleotides in length.
Source: RNAcentral